RNAcentral lists this ribosomal RNA (253 nucleotides) under uncultured bacterium. RNAcentral describes it as "partial 16S ribosomal RNA". It matches the Rfam family "Bacterial small subunit ribosomal RNA", at positions 524 to 776 of the family's 1533-position model. The record is from RNAcentral.
GACGAACCGUGCGAACGUUAUUCGGAAUCACUGGGCUUAAAGCGCGUGUAGGCGGCUUUGCAAGUCGGGUGUGAAAUCCCUCGGCUCAACCGAGGAAGUGCGCCCGAAACUGCAGAGCUUGAGUACCGGAGAGGAUGGUGGAAUUCCCCAAGUAGAGGUGAAAUUCGUAGAUAUGGGGAGGAACACCGGUGGCGAAGGCGACCAUCUGGACGGAUACUGACGCUGAGACGCGAAAGCGUGGGGAGCAAACAGG